CAUCUUUUUUGAUGGGGGGCGGUAAGGGACCUGGAUAAUGAAUAGGGGGGCGUUGGCCCAAAAAAGGUUGAGAACCACUGACCUACAAUAACUAAUACUCAAUUUCACUGCUCAUGCCUAAGCACCAGUGUUGGCUAAGAAUGACAUAAAAAUAUGGAUAUAGUGGUAAUGAAAUGAUAGGGUGGGCUCUCAGCUAGCUAACAACACAUAGCUCAUUUAAAGUAAAAUACAUUUUAUGAAACUCCGGAGGUUGGAAAGUUAAGUGUAUUAAAGAAGCUAAGUACUGACUUUAACCUGCAGCGUCUCCAUUAGUGUGAUGCACCGGACUGGAGCAGAGUGAUGUGGGCAGACAAGACGUUCAACUAACGUCAAGGUUAGGAAAUGGUACGGUCCAUUUUAGGGGUGUCAGAAAUUAUCUUUCAUUAUGUUCAUGAAUGUAAGGCAUGCGUAUGGGUGAUAUAUUAAUAACAGAUAAGAAAGAACCCCUUGAACAAAAUAAAACUAGUGGUUAACGUUUUGAAAUGUUGCAAUUUUCAAAUGACACAUUGUCAAUGUAGUGAAAUGUCACAAUUUGGUUAAAUUUGGGCAACAAAUCUACUUGAUUGGGGUUAGGAAAAAUCAGGGUUUGGUUAAUUGGAUAACUUAAGAAUCUUACAUAAAAGUCAUUAAAUGUUGACUUUUUGUUUCACACAGGACAUUAGUAGCGGUCUCCUUGGUGAAAGUCCGGUUUCGUGGUUUAAUACUACAGGCCGCUGAUGUCUGGUGCAGCUAAACAAACUACUAUGAGUCAGUAAUUGUUUUUUUCCAUCAUUAUGUGAGCAGUCAUGAUCUCACUACAGGCUGUCAGGUGUGACUGUGAGGCAAGGGCGAAUUGUUUACAUGGCUCACAAGUCAUUUUCUCUUAGGUGGUGGUAGGUAGGUAUGUUUGCUUAUGCUCAGGUCAAAGCCCUUUCUGACAUGACAAUGCCAAUAUUAAUGGGCAAAGCAAGGGAAGCUGGUGAGACGCAUACUAAAACAUUUCAUACUCUUAAAUCAAAAAUAAAUUUAAAUUUUACAGGGAGAAUAUGGGGGCCUGUGCCCCACUAGAGCUUUAUGUCUAGCAACGCCCCUGGUUCUCAGUAAUCCAGAUCUUAGUUUUUCAAAAAUGGAUAAAAUCAAAGGCAACUGAACUUGGUUGAAGACACUAGAGAAUGUUUCGAGACUACUUCGGUUCUGAAAUUAUUUGUAGGUAAACUCACCAUCGAUACUGCUGGUUCGUUCAUUAGAGCCACCUGAGGCCAAGUCUGAAAAACCAUCAUUGGCAUCUUCCCUUGAGGCCAAAAGUGAAUGUUUGUUUCCUGAGAAGUGAUGAAAGGACAGCAUUGUAAGUGGGGGAUAAGUGGUGGUGGAGAUCCCCUCCUCUGUUCAGCGACGGCUUCUAUACCCGGGUGUAAAUAGCUUCCUUGACACCUCUUUAAAACCAUCCAUCUUCUCUGUCUAAAAUGUGCACCAGGUGGUCUUUAAACCGGUGGCCUAUCCUUCAGAUGUAGCUAAACUGCUGAGUCUUGACCUGAGGAGUUAGCCCUUUUGUGUUGAGCAAUGCGUUUGUGUAGUGUUUGUUAAGUUUAUAUACAGGUCUGCACAUUAUUCACUGCAUUGGACAGAACACACUUAAUUGCUUUGUAUGCUUUCACUUUCAGUCUCGCAACCCUCCCCCGUUUCACAAGUCCCAGGGAACAGUAACUACCCACUGUACGAUCCAGCUUAUAUAACCCAGCUUAUAAAACCCUCAUCUUCACAUUCUAGAGAACUCACAGGCAUAGAAUUUGCCUUUGCUUUUCCCUUCAUCGCAAUACCAUUUGUUCAGUCUUCACCAACUGCAGGGCCAAGUUGGAUGACUACCUCUCCACCUUUGAUUUGGCACUGCGAUUCAGCGGCACUGGUUUCCACAGAUCACAUCUUUUUCGCAUUUCUAUUCCUUUUCAUGACAACCACUUUAAACAAAAGACCAUACACUGAUGCAGCACCCUUCACCGGGUGACCAAUGGGCGACCACUACAGUGGCAGAUAAUACACCUCAGAGUGGCCGCUGGAACUGUCCUCCCUCUCAUCCCUCUACAAGCCAUACCCCACAACCAUCGCUGCUAUUGUUUGGGGGGCUCGCAUGGUACACAAAGCAAUCCUUGGUCGCACCAAACCCUGUCAUAGCACUAUUCAGGACGGUGUAGUUCAAACCUCCCACACUUUGUUCAGCCCACUAUUUAACACACUUACUCGGUUUUCAAAUCAAAACAUCCACCAUCCACGCAUACUUUAGCGGAUAAACCCCUUCAUCAGACUCCUUUUGGUGCUCCAACCUCUUCCAUCUCUUACCCCCGCAUCUAUGUGUUGCUCGUUUUCGUAAAGUCCAGCAACAUAUUUUGGGGAUUUUAAACAAGACACUUACAGAGACGUGCCCCCACCCUGAGCCUCGACCGUCGGAUUCCUAGUUGCUCUGGACCCCACGACCCAGAUCAACCCCCUUCAUCCCUUUCCUCUCAACCCAUCCAUCCUUUCAUCCCCGAACCUUCUCUCUAAUCAAAUAAACUACAUAUGAUAACUUAACUGGAAUGGUCUUAGUUAGUGAAUCAGGAUCAAGACAAUCACCACAUUUGUAGAUUGGAGUAAUGCAUGAAUAUUUCCAGAUAACAGGUAACCAGUUAAAGGUAUCUAGAUUCAAUCCCAUCAAGUAAGGUGAUGAACUUAAAGACCAAAACCAGCUUUACAGCGGCCGAACAUCCAUGAUGACUGACGCUCUGCAAACUGGAGACCUCAGCCUCAACCUGACAAAACUCCAGCUCUCCGACAGCGGCAGCUACACCUGCACCGUCAGAGCGUUAGGAGGACAACGGAGAGUGGCAGAGAUACAGCUGCGGGUCAAAGAACGAUUUCCAUCCUGGGCCAAAGUUCUCCUGGUUCUCCUAGUUGUUAGUCUUGUUGCUGCUGGGGGUCUUCUGGUACAUUUCCGGCAGUAUUUCAUGUCACUACUACUGUCAGAAUCAGAAUCAUAAAUACUUGAUUGAUCCCCGAGAGGAAAUUCUUAUGUCACAGUUGCACACAUUGCACAUCAAGGCAUAGAGGAACAUAAAUACUAAUAGAAAGCUGCUAAGUAAAGAAUAUAUAAUAUAAAAAUGUAUGUAAUAUAUAAAGAAAAAUGUGUAUAAAGGAGUGUAAAUAAAUAGUAGUAGUAAUACAAGGAGUAGUGGUAGGGUUCAUGUGGAAUGAAUUACAAAUCCUCAAAAAUCCUUAAUGAUGGAAACACAGCCCUGUACUCAGUCUGAUCACCCUUGCUGAUAUAAUACAUCCAACUACAGCAGAGUCACCAGAAAACUUCUGAAGAUGGCGUGUGAGGUAGUUGAAGUCAGUGGUGUAGAUGGUAAAGAGGAAGGGAUACAGGACAGUCCCCUGUGGACUGUUCCAGAAUCAGUCAAUGAUCAUUAUCCUUACCCUUGUUGCUCUGUAACUCCAGAAACUAAAAGAGUUGAGAGUUAAAACCAAUGCUGCCGAGAGCUGAAGAGAAACUCCCAGGUUUUGUUCUAGAUGUGGCGGAGCAUUAACUGGGUGUAUGUGGGGAUGGCAACAGUGCUGGCUGGCACACAGACAGACAAGGGUGUCAGAAGGCAAGCUGAUCCAGGAGUCCCAGGCAGGCGAGUCCAGAGUCAGGGGUGGUCCUAGAGCGGGCUGAACACAAGUUCAAGUAGGUCCAGUGGUAGACAGGUUAGAACAGGCAAACGGACUGACAAGCAAGCAGAUUCUUCUGGAUACUCAUCAAAGACCAGUCGACUUAACAGUCCGGUGGGGACUGGAUGUUUGGCCGCUGCUUAUAUAGUGCUGUAGCUCAGCGAGAUGUGGAUCAGGUGUAAGUUAAAUGCCCCAACAGGUGUAUGCAACCAGCUCUAGUGGCAGGAGUCAUGCCCCUAACCUAACUGCUAUUAAAGUGAAAGAGAGAGACAGAGGGAGAGAGAGAGCAAAACCAAAACACAACACAGGAACAAUGGGACAUAUUUCAGAGUUCCUGCUGCUGUCUGUACAGCUGAUGUUGUGCUUUAUUGUCCUCUCAGACUACAAGGUGGAGGUGGAUACAAGGGUGGAGUCUGUCCAGCUGCCCUGCAAAACCAUAGUUCACCUGCCUGAAGACGUCACAGUGGAGUGGACAAACAACGACCAAAUGAACAUGAAGGUCCACGUAUAUAAGAACGGCUCUUUCCAGCCUGAAGAACAGCACAGUUAUUACAGAAGCCGAACAGAGAUGAAGAGAAACCUGCAGAGACCUGUUGACCUCAGUCUGACCCCGAAAUACCCCACAGACAGAGACAGUAACACCUACACCUGCACCGUCUACAGCAGGGAGGGACGCAUCCUGAUGAAAAAACAAUUCCUGGUCAAGGUCAAAUGUCAGAGUUGUAGAUACAGGUCAGAGGUCAAAGGAAACAAAACACGGGAACAAUGGGACAUAUUUCAGAGUGUGAGGUGGAGGUGGAGGAGGGGGCGGAGUCUGUCCUGCUGUCCUGUUGUGGAGUGGAGACGCUAUGAAUCCGAACCCAUAAAGACCUGUAUGAAAAUGAUUCCAUGUGUGUGGAAUCCAAAUAAGAAAUGAAUCCUAAAAACUCUGUCACUCUGUCUGCUUCCUCUUCUUCAGCCAAAAGGCUUCUCUCUUCUUCCUCUUGUUGUUCCCACUUCAUCUCGGCUCCUUCAGGAGAGCUGAGCUUUUGGUUUGUUUUCUUUUGGCUUUGCUGUAAUCUGAUGCUGUUUCAACGCC
Molecule: RNA transcript, 4777 nt
Organism: Micropterus salmoides (largemouth bass)
Lineage: Eukaryota; Metazoa; Chordata; Actinopteri; Centrarchiformes; Centrarchidae
Exons: 2
Source: RefSeq, a predicted model, not a curated record